Molecule: ribosomal RNA, 848 nt
Filed under: uncultured archaeon
Lineage: Archaea
Description: bacterial SSU rRNA
Rfam family: Archaeal small subunit ribosomal RNA
Source: RNAcentral
CUGCUAUCGGGAUAGGACUAAGACAUGCUAGUCAAGCGCUUCUCAGCUAAAGAGGAGUGCGGCACACAGCUCAGUAGCACGUGGCUAACCUGCCCUUAGGAUAGGGACAACCCCGGGAAACUGGGGCUAAUCCCCAAUAGGUGAAGUGCUCUGGAAUGAGCCUUCGCCAGAAAGGACGCUUGCGCUAUGCUCGCAGGCUUUGCCUGAGGAUGGGGCCGCGACCGAUCAGGUUGUUGGUGAGGUAAUGGCUCACCAAGCCUUUAACCGGUGCGGGCCGUGAGAGCGGGAGCCCGGAGAUGGGCACUGAGACAAAGGCCCAGGCCCUACGGGGCGCAGCAGUCGCGCAAACUUUGCAAUACACGAAAGUGUGACAGGGCUAUCCCGAGUGCCGUCCGCUGAGGAUGGCUUUUACCUAGUCUAGAACGCUGGGGGAAUAAGGAGAGGGCAAGUCUGGUGUCAGCCGCCGCGGUAAUACCAGCUCUCCGAGUGGUGUGGAUGUUUAUUGGGCCUAAAGCAUCCGUAGCUGGCCAAGUUAGUCCCCUGUUAAACCCACCGAAUUAAUCGUUGGUUUGCGGGGGAUACUGCUCGGCUAGGGGACGAGAGAGGCAGACGGUAUUUUCGGGGUAGGGGUGAAAUCCUAUAAUCCCGGGAAGACCACCAGUGGCGAAGGCUGUCUGCUAGAACGCGCCCGACGGUGAGGGAUGAAAGCUGGGGGAGCGAACCGGAUUAGAUACCCGGGUAGUCCCAGCUGUAAACGAUGCAGGCUAGGUGUUUGGACGGCCACGUGCCGUUCUAGUGCCGCAGGGAAGCUGUUAAGCCUGCCGCCUGGGGAGUACGAUCGCAAGAUU